GAAAUGCGAUACGUAGUGUGAAUUGCAGAAUUCCGUGAGUCAUCGAAUCUUUGAACGCACAUUGCCGGUCGAGUCUUCGGAUGAGACCACAUCUGCCUCAGCGUCGGGAUAC
RNAcentral lists this ribosomal RNA (112 nucleotides) under Ulva intestinalis (hollow green seaweed). RNAcentral describes it as "partial 5.8S ribosomal RNA". It matches the Rfam family "5.8S ribosomal RNA", at positions 50 to 154 of the family's 154-position model. From Rfam's summary of the family: 5.8S ribosomal RNA (5.8S rRNA) is a component of the large subunit of the eukaryotic ribosome. It is transcribed by RNA polymerase I as part of the 45S precursor that also contains 18S and 28S rRNA. Lineage: Eukaryota; Viridiplantae; Chlorophyta; Ulvophyceae; Ulvales; Ulvaceae. The record is from RNAcentral.